UUCGCCCUUAGAGUUUGAUCCUGGCUCAGGACGAACGCUGGCGGCGUGCCUAACACAUGCAAGUCGAGCGAGUGGAGUUCUUCGGAACAAAGCUAGCGGCGGACGGGUGAGUAACACGUGGGCAACCUGCCUCAUAGAGGGGAAUAGCCUCCCGAAAGGGAGAUUAAUACCGCAUAAGAUUGUAGCUUCGCAUGAAGUAGCAAUUAAAGGAGCAAUCCGCUAUGAGAUGGGCCCGCGGCGCAUUAGCUAGUUGGUGAGGUAACGGCUCACCAAGGCGACGAUGCGUAGCCGACCUGAGAGGGUGAUCGGCCACAUUGGGACUGAGACACGGCCCAGACUCCUACGGGAGGCAGCAGUGGGGAAUAUUGCACAAUGGGGGAAACCCUGAUGCAGCAACGCCGCGUGAGUGAUGACGGCCUUCGGGUUGUAAAGCUCUGUCUUCAGGGACGAUAAUGACGGUACCUGAGGAGGAAGCCACGGCUAACUACGUGCCAGCAGCCGCGGUAAUACGUAGGUGGCGAGCGUUGUCCGGAUUUACUGGGCGUAAAGGGAGCGUAGGCGGACUUUUAAGUGAGAUGUGAAAUACCCGGGCUCAACUUGGGUGCUGCAUUUCAAGCUGGAAGUCUAGAGUGCAGGAGAGGAGAAUGGAAUUCCUAGUGUAGCGGUGAAAUGCGUAGAGAUUAGGAAGAACACCAGUGGCGAAGGCGAUUCUCUGGACUGUAACUGACGCUGAGGCUCGAAAGCGUGGGGAGCAAACAGGAUUAGAUACCCUGGUAGUCCACGCCGUAAAACGAGGAAUACUAGGUGUAGGGGGUUGUCAUGACCCUCUGUGCCGCCGCUAACGCAUUAAGUAUUCCGCCUGGGGAGUACGGUCGCAAGAUUAAAACUCAAAGGGAAUUGACGGGGGCCCGCACAAGCAGCGGAGCAUGUGGUUUAAUUCGAAGCAACGCGAAGAACCUUACCUAGACUUGACAUCUCCUGCAUUACCCUUAAUCGGGGAAGUUCCUUCGGGGACAGGAAGACAGGUGGUGCAUGGUUGUCGUCAGCUCGUGUCGUGAGAUGUUGGGUUAAGUCCCGCAACGAGCGCAACCCUUAUUGUUAGUUGCUACCAUUUAGUUGAGCACUCUAGCGAGACUGCCCGGGUUAACCGGGAGGAAGGUGGGGAUGACGUCAAAUCAUCAUGCCCCUUAUGUCUAGGGCUACACACGUGCUACAAUGGCAAGUACAAAGAGAAGCAAGACCGCGAGGUGGAGCAAAACUCAAAAACUUGUCUCAGUUCGGAUUGUAGGCUGAAACUCGCCUACAUGAAGCUGGAGUUGCUAGUAAUCGCGAAUCAGCAUGUCGCGGUGAAUACGUUCCCGGGCCUUGCACACACCGCCCGUCA
Molecule: ribosomal RNA, 1384 nt
Filed under: uncultured bacterium
Lineage: Bacteria
Description: 16S ribosomal RNA
Rfam family: Bacterial small subunit ribosomal RNA
Source: RNAcentral